This 319-nucleotide long non-coding RNA is filed under the name Carica papaya (papaya). RNAcentral describes it as "long non-coding RNA (CPAP_LNC016375)". Lineage: Eukaryota; Viridiplantae; Streptophyta; Magnoliopsida; Brassicales; Caricaceae. The record is from RNAcentral.
UUCAAUUGAAGAAGAAUUUAAAUGUAUAAAUCAACCUAUAAAUGACAAAAUUAUCAAUUAAUUUGUUUUCUUAAAAAAAUAAAAAGAUAGGCAAGCUGAAUAUAAUAAUUUGUUGAAAUAUGAGAGAAAUAAGUAAGACAAACUAAUUGAGAAACUCAAGUUUUGAUUUAUAGUUGAUGCUAAAAGCCUUCAAGUAUAUAGAAUAUAUAGGUAGUACUACUACUAUUACUAAUUCUACUACUACUACUACUAAUAUACUACUAGUGCUACUGCUAUUGUUACUUCUACUACUUCUACUAUUGCUACAACUGUUAGUCCU